CAUAUUUAGAAUGGUACGUAAUAUUCUAAAUACCCCUCAACCUCAAGAAUACAAACCCUACUUCCUACUUGUUGUGCGACGGCAGACGACCUCUCCCAUCAUCGAAGACAUUUUCUGGUUCGGGCCAACUGUGGGUCGUUAGAUGUCUUGGAUUGGAACUUGCUGUCUGGAGUAGCUGAAGUGGUCAUGGGUCGAACUGGAGGGAUACAUGUGUUGGAAUUGUUGAUAUGACAUGUGAUUUUGAAACAGUUAAACUAUGAUUUCCUUUAUUGCUUCCGCUGAACAUGUUGGUUUUCAUUUAAACUUAUUGAUGGUACUUUUCAUUAAUAAUUGGCAAUUUCAUUUUUAAACUUGUUAUGAGUUCAACAUGAUUAGUGGCUCGUUAUUGGUUUGUCACACGCCUAGUAGGGUUUUCCAUGGGUGGUAUUUUGGGGGUGUGACAAAUAUCAUGACUUCCGUUGAUACUAGGGUCAGGUAUGAAGUGAUGGGUAUGUUUACAGUGUAUAGUAUGAUUUUCGUUUAUAGGGACAUAAAUUUUAAUGGCUUCAAUGAUCGAAGGUAUAGAAUUUGAUAUUCCUUGAGCUGUUAUAUUUUCCAUAGUAUUUUUAUCCAGAGAGUUUUCAUUACUAGCCUGAAUUUCUUGAUUACAUGCUAUUUCCCUUGACAUCUGAAUUACAAACAUGUUCAGAUAUAAUUAUCACAGAACUAAGCAAUUAUACAGGCACAUUUUGUUGCUCACACCAUGUUUAGCACAAUUAUAGUCAUAGCUAUCAGGAUUAUGCGUUGAUAAAUAUAUAUAUUAAGAUAUACAUAUGUACAUGUUAUAUUUUAACAUUUUCUUUUACUAUAUAUCUUAUCAAAAUAUAAGGAAAAUGUAUAUACUAUAUAUGUUGUUUCUUCCCUUGGUAUAACAUCUUUUCUCUAUAUUGCCUUA
This 934-nucleotide long non-coding RNA is filed under the name Helianthus annuus (common sunflower). Lineage: Eukaryota; Viridiplantae; Streptophyta; Magnoliopsida; Asterales; Asteraceae. The record is from RNAcentral.